GAGAGAAGCUUUCUGUUCUGUUCUCCAACACCUCAACGGAAUUCAGUUGCAUAGUAAAACAAUAAUAAAGAAUUAUAUAGUAUUACAUUCCAUUUCCUUAAUCCUGAGGCAUUAUAUAUAUUGCAGCACAAUAUAUUUAUUGUAUGAUAGCAGCUUCUGCCACAAAGGAAGCAAGAUUCCUUCGCUAAGUAUUGUCAAGGUGCUGCAUGGUCCUACAGCUCCCUACAGGCCUUGGGCUAGGAGCUGCAGAGGUCCCCUGGGCAGCAGGGCCAGGGCCUGGCAACCGCUCUCUAACUUCCCCUCUGGAAACAAGACAGGGAAAAUAAAAUGAAAAAGCUCAAGUGUCAAGGUAAAGAAUUGUGGUGGAUUGCUAAGAAGGAAACACCAUCGACUUCCAAAAUAUUCCAGUACAUCUAUGAAAAUGAUUCAGGACACACAAACCAUUUGGCCUGAAAACAUGGACCACAAAAUAUUCCAUUCAUCCUUUAGAUGGUAUAACAAUAUAGCCGGGACUGGAUUUAUUUCCCAGUUAAAACU
This is a long non-coding RNA of Cygnus olor (mute swan), 537 nucleotides long. RefSeq lists it as uncharacterized. The transcript has 3 exons. The record is from RefSeq and is a predicted model, not a curated record. Lineage: Eukaryota; Metazoa; Chordata; Aves; Anseriformes; Anatidae.